This 598-nucleotide ribosomal RNA is filed under the name uncultured bacterium. RNAcentral's name for it is "bacterial SSU rRNA". It matches the Rfam family "Bacterial small subunit ribosomal RNA", at positions 886 to 1500 of the family's 1533-position model. The record is from RNAcentral.
GGGCCUAAAAACUUCAAAGGGAAUUGACGGGGCCCGCACAAGCAGCGGAGCGUUGGUUUAAUUCGAGGCACGCGAAGACCUUACCAGGGUUGGACAUGCUGGUGGCUAGGGAGGUGAAAGCCGACCGACUCUUCGGAGAGCCAGCACAGGUGCUGCAUGGCUGUCGUCAGCUCGUGCCGUGAGGUGUUAGGUUAAGUCCUGUAACGAGCGCAACCCACGUCGUUAGUUACAAGUGUCUAGCGAGACUGCCGGUGAUAAGCUCGGAGGAAGGUGUGGAUGACGUCAAGUCAGCAUGGCCUUUAUAUCCUGGGCUACACACACGCUACAAUGGCCGGUACAAUGGGUCGCCAAGCCGCGAGGCGGAGCCAAUCCCGCAAAGCCGGUCACAGUUCGGAUUGCAGGCUGCAACUCGCCUGCAUGAAGUCGGAGUUGCUAGUAACCGCAGGUCAGCAACACUGCGGUGAAUACGUUCCCGGGCCUUGUACACGCCGCCCGUCACGUCAUGGAAGCUGGCAACGCCUGAAGUCGGUGGGUGAACCCGCAAGGGACACAGCCGCCUAAGGCGGGUUGGUGACUGGGACGAAGUGUACAAUAACGC